GAAAUGCGAUAAGUAAUGUGAAUUGCAGAAUUCAGUGAAUCAUCGAAUCUUUGAACGCACAUUGCGCCCGUCAGCACUCUGGCGGGCAUGCCUGUUCGAGCGUCAUUUCAACCACCAAGCCCUGCUUGUGUUGGGGCCCUGCGGCUGCCCGCAGGCCCUGAAAACCAGUGGCGGGCUCGCUAGUCACACCGAGCGCAGUAAGCACAUUCUCGCUCAGGGCGUGCGGCGGGUUCUUGCCGUGAAACCCCCCCUGUAACUCACAAGGUUGACCUCGGAUCAGGUAGGAAUACCCGCUGAACUUAA
Molecule: unclassified non-coding RNA, 303 nt
Filed under: uncultured Podospora
Lineage: Eukaryota; Fungi; Ascomycota; Sordariomycetes; Sordariales; Lasiosphaeriaceae
Description: sequence contains ITS1
Rfam family: 5.8S ribosomal RNA (bases 1-105)
Source: RNAcentral